UGGGGAAUAUUGCACAAUGGAGGGAACUCUGAUGCAGCGACGCCGCGUGAACGAAGAAGGCUUUCGAGUCGUAAAGUUCUUUUAUAUGGGAAGAUAAUGACGGUACCAUAAGAAGAAGCCCCGGCUAACUACGUGCCAGCAGCCACGGUAAUACGUAGGGGGCUAGCGUUGUCCGGAAUCACUGGGCGUAAAGGGUUCGCAGGCGGAAAUGCAAGUCAGGUGUAAAAGGCAGUAGCUUAACUACUGUAAGCAUUUGAAACUGCAUAUCUUGAGAAGAGUAGAGGUAAGUGGAAUUUUUAGUGUAGCGGUGAAAUGCGUAGAUAUUAAAAAGAAUACCGGUGGCGAAGGCGACUUACUGGGCUCAUUCUGACGCUGAGGAACGAAAGCGUGGGUAGCAAACAGG
RNAcentral lists this ribosomal RNA (403 nucleotides) under bacterium. RNAcentral's name for it is "partial 16S ribosomal RNA". It matches the Rfam family "Bacterial small subunit ribosomal RNA", at positions 355 to 776 of the family's 1533-position model. The record is from RNAcentral.